CAAGCAACUCUUGAUCCUAUUCCACGUAUUAGCGUUGUUCACCCUCUUCUGCAACCAAUUGGAGUAAUCCCCGAGCCUAUACUCCUUAUAGCCUCUGCCAGACACGGUCUCACCAGCGCCCUUGUUUGUGACAACGAAGGCGAAGAUGGUGAAGGCGAAGAGAAGAACGAUGAGCAAGAACAUCACGAGCAGGUAGAGCCAGAGGAGCCACGACACGCGACAGCACGCGCCGAUGAGGCCGGCUAGAGAGACGAUCAUCAGAAAAACGCCGAGCGCGAUCACCGGCUUCUCCAGCCACCGCUCGCACUCGGUGGUGCCCUGCUUGCUCAGCCACACUCCGC
This 341-nucleotide long non-coding RNA is filed under the name Phaseolus vulgaris (common bean). RNAcentral's name for it is "long non-coding RNA (PVUL_LNC004080)". The record is from RNAcentral. Lineage: Eukaryota; Viridiplantae; Streptophyta; Magnoliopsida; Fabales; Fabaceae.